GAUGGGAUGGUAGGGACAGAAACUGCAGGGUCCGCAGAAGGAACUGCUCACCGAAAGCCAACAAGCUUGCCCUGUGGAAUCCCAGAAAGGCCCAGGAACUUCGGGACAUCACUGAAGGCAGAGUGAAGAGAGGAAGAGAAGACAGAGAAAUGGAGGGGAGAAAACUAUUAAAAUAAGUAAUAAGAAAACUUUCCCCAGAAGUGCAGAAUCUGAAUUUCCAGUAUAAAAGGGUCCAUUGAGCGCCAAGAACAAUGAAGGAAAAAAGGUCCCACUCAGGCCUACGUAUCAUUGUGAAAUUUCAGAACUAGAGGGAUAAAGAAAAGAUCCUAAAAGCUUCCCGAGAGAUAAAAAAGAAGAUUUUUACAAAGGAUCAGCAAUCAGAAUUGCCUCAGACUGCUCAAUAAAAACAUCAGAAGCUAGAAGAAAAUAGAAUGAGGCAUCAAAAUCCUGAGGGAAAUGAUUCCCACCUAUAAUUUCAUAUUCUGCUCAAUUAUCAAUUGAGUAUUGAAGGGAAAUAAAGACAUUUUUAGACAUGC
This 536-nucleotide long non-coding RNA is filed under the name Homo sapiens (human). RNAcentral describes it as "non-protein coding lnc-PHF21A-1:2". The record is from RNAcentral. Lineage: Eukaryota; Metazoa; Chordata; Mammalia; Primates; Hominidae.